Long non-coding RNA from Bufo gargarizans (Asiatic toad), 262 nucleotides. RefSeq lists it as uncharacterized. NCBI's taxonomy places the organism in Eukaryota, Metazoa, Chordata, Amphibia, Anura, Bufonidae. The transcript has 3 exons. The record is from RefSeq and is a predicted model, not a curated record.
AUUCAUCAUUAAAGAAGUAAAGAAGAGACCGGGAACUACGCGAUCAAGAGGAGAAGGUUCCUUAGGUUCAAGACUCUCUUCUUUUUGAAGCUGAUGGUCCUUUCCAUCAAUGACCCACCAAGGAUGGAGAAGGACAGAAAUGGCAUGGCUUCAAGGAUAUUAGACCUCACCCUGGAGAUCAUCUCCUUGAUAACGGGAGAGGAUUACACAGUAGUGAAGCAGUCGUCUGGUGAGUGUGUGACACCCCGUGUGUCAGGAGGAU